This 497-nucleotide ribosomal RNA is filed under the name uncultured bacterium. Its description in RNAcentral is "partial 16S ribosomal RNA". It matches the Rfam family "Bacterial small subunit ribosomal RNA", at positions 28 to 507 of the family's 1533-position model. The record is from RNAcentral.
GACGAACGCUGGCGGCGUGCCUAAUACAUGCAAGUUGAGUGCUGAAGGUUGGUACUUGUACCAACUGGAUGAGCAGCGAACGGGUGAGUAACGCGUGGGGAAUCUGCCUUUGAGCGGGGGACAACAUUUGGAAACGAAUGCUAAUACCGCAUAAAAACUUUAAACACAAGUUUUAAGUUUGAAAGAUGCAAUUGCAUCACUCAAAGAUGAUCCCGCGUUGUAUUAGCUAGUUGGUGAGGUAAAGGCUCACCAAGGCGAUGAUACAUAGCCGACCUGAGAGGGUGAUCGGCCACAUUGGGACUGAGACACGGCCCAAACUCCUACGGGAGGCAGCAGUAGGGAAUCUUCGGCAAUGGACGAAAGUCUGACCGAGCAACGCCGCGUGAGUGAAGAAGGUUUUCGGAUCGUAAAACUCUGUUGGUAGAGAAGAACGUUGGUGAGAGUGGAAAGCUCAUCAAGUGACGGUAACUACCCAGAAAGGGGCGGCUAACUACGUG